RNAcentral lists this long non-coding RNA (44270 nucleotides) under Lactuca sativa (garden lettuce). RNAcentral describes it as "long non-coding RNA (LSAT_LNC005044)". The record is from RNAcentral. Lineage: Eukaryota; Viridiplantae; Streptophyta; Magnoliopsida; Asterales; Asteraceae.
CGAGGAGAGGAGUUUUCCGAGAGCGAGAACUCAUAAGCCAAGGAGACAGUGGGAGGCAAAUCGAGCUUGAAGAGAUUCAAGAGUCGAUAGAUGAAGGAACCUCUACCGCUGGCACUCAACCCGAGGAGGAAACUCCGGUUGAACCGAUUGACGAAUCCUUACCUCUUAGACGUUCCGAUAGAGUUAGAGUUCAACCCCAGUUUUAUGGUUUUCAUAUUACUACCGAAGGGGACACGUAUAUUAGUGAUGGUACACUAAUAAAUCUUGAUGAACCUAAUAGCUAUAAGGAAGCCAUGGCAGGCCCGGAGUCUGCAAAAUGGAAAGAGGCAAUGGAUAGCGAGAUCCAAUCCAUGUAUGAUAACCAAGUUUGGAAUUUGGUUGAUUAUGUGCCCGGACGUAAGACCGUUGGGUGCAAAUGGAUCUUCAAGAAGAAGACCGACGUGGAUGGAAACGUGCACACAUAUAAAGCGCGAUUGGUUGCGAAGGGCUUUACUCAAACUCCCGGAGUUGACUAUGAUGAGACCUUCUCACCAGUUGCGAAGAUUAAAUCUAUUAGAGUGAUGCUAGCAAUUGCCGCAUUUCAUGAUUAUGAGAUUUGGCAAAUGGAUGUCAAGACCGCUUUCCUUAACGGAAAGUUGGCUGAGGAUGUUUACAUGGCUCAGCCAGAGGGGUUUGUGGAUCCGAAGCAUCCGAAUAGAGUGUGUAAGCUUGAGAAGUCCAUUUAUGGACUUAAGCAAGCGUCUCGCAGAUGGAAUCUUUGCUUCGAUGAGAAAGUCAAAGAGUUUGGAUUUGUACGAAGCGAAGACGAAUCUUGUGUAUAUGUCAAAGCCAGUGGGAGUAUAGUAAGCUUCCUCGUUCUAUAUGUCGAUGACAUAUUACUCAUAGGAAACGACAUCCCGACUCUGCAGGAGGUUAAGUCCUGGCUCGGGAAGUGCUUCGCUAUGAAGGACCUCGGAGAGGCUUCUUACAUUUUGGGAAUAAGGAUAGUAAGAGAAAGAAGUAAGAGACUAAUUGGACUUAGUCAGAAUACUUACUUAGAGAAGGUACUAAAACGUUUUAGUAUGGAAAACUCAAAGAAGGGAGAACUACCGAUACAAAGUAAUGCCAAAUUGAGUAAGACUCAAAGUCCGAGUACCGAAGCUGAGAUAGCAGAAAUGAGCCGAGUACCAUACGCUUCCGCAGUUGGCUCAAUCAUGUACGCUAUGACUUGUACUCGCCCUGAUGUAGCCUUCGCUUUGAGCAUGGUUAGCAGAUAUCAAGGGAAUCCUGGCAAAGCACAUUGGAUUGCGGUGAAGAAUAUCCUUAAGUACCUUCGGAGGACGAAGGAAUGGUUCUUAGUCCUCGGAGGAGGUGAUGACUUGAAGGUGCGAGGGUAUAGUGACACCAGCUUUUAGACCGAUAGGGACAACUACCGUUCGCAAUCGGGCUGGGUCUUUACCCUGAAUGGAGGAGCAGUGACUUGGAAAGUUCCAAGCAAAAAAAACCAUAGCUGAUUCAAUGUGCGAAUCAAAGUACAUUGCAGCGAGCGAAGCGUCGAAGGAGGCAAUAUGGUUGAAGAACUUCAUUGGUGAUCUUGGAGUUGUACCUGCCAUAAAGGAGCCCAUGGAGAUUUUCUGUGAUAACGAAGGAGCGGUUGCCUUGACCAAGGAACCGAGGGAUCAUGGUAGAUCAAGACAUAUCGACAGAAAAUAUCACUUCAUUAGACAUCGUGUAGAAGAAGGACAACUCGUAGUGAAGAGGAUAUCAUCAGAAGAUAACCCAGCAGAUCCGCUUACGAAGGGACUGAGUAGGGUUAAGCACUUGCAGCAUGCUAGGAGUAUUGGGCUGAAGGAUGAUAUUAGCAUAGAUUAGAUAGUAUUAGAAACGUGUAAUAGAUAAAUGUAAUUAACAUUUGAUGAUUAAAUAAAGGAGUUUUAUUUAUGAGUAAUGUUACUAUCUUAUGUUAAUUGUUUAACUAUUGUUUCACUUUGCAUGUUUUGACUUCCAGAAUAAUUGAGUUUAUUAGGAAUAAUCGAAUUGUUCAAAUUGUCCACAAUCGUUCAUAUGUUGGAAGUAGAUAUGAAUGAAGAUUGUCAUGAAUUGGUGUGUAGAUUGUCUAAAUGGUGUUAGACAUAGCAAAGGGUUGCUGCGACGUUCAUGAGUGCUUAUGAACUAGUUUUGAGCAUUGGAACAAACCCGCGCUUGCUGGAAUCACCUUAUGGAAUAUGAUAUAAAAGGGUGAUCGCAAGACGAUAAUAUCAUAUAGUCUUAAAACCUAGAUAUAUGGUUUGUUAUUUGUUAAUUGGUUGUACAUUGAUAAUGCGAAAACGCAUCAGUAACUCGGUGUUAUAAAACGCAUUGUUGUGUAUAGUUGAUUAAUGAAUAAGUAAAUGCAUAUAAGUCGAAGUUUAUCUGUUACUUUUAUCCCAAGAGGGUAAAAGCGAUAUCUCGGCCGCUCGAUGAUUUGAUUUGACUUAUGUGCCGGGCCCGGUCAGAACUGAAUUGAUGUGUUCGAUUAAGUUCUAUGUCAAAUGAAUCGGAGAUCGAGAAACCAAAUGCUAGACAAAUUAUUCCAUAGAAUUGUCAGCAUGAUAUCUAACAGAGGACUGUACGAUCCCUUAUCUAAAGGACAAGAUUGAUUAGAUCAGAGUUUGACAGCGUCUUUGAGAGCUACGAUUGCAAAUCGAAUUGUACUUGUGCAUAUAGUUACUAGACUUAUCCAAGUGGGAGACUGUUGGAAUAGUGUCUAAGGCUGCAACUAUAUUAGGCAAGUAUUUGACCCGAUUGUGCAUGGUCCUUUUGGGUUGCCUUCACCAUAGCAACUUGAUAGGAUGAUUUAUUAUGAGAGAAUAAAUAUUAUUAAUAUAUUAUGAGAAUAAUAUAAGAAAUAAUAAUAUUGUUAUAUGAUUAAUAUAAGUCAUAAAAUUAAUUAGAAUUAAUUUGGUGACUUAAAGAGAUUAAAUAAAUAAGAGGGUAUAAACUGUCAAUUGUUUGAUAGUUACACUUUGGGCUAUAAAUCCUUCAUGGAUAGGGUUGGACUAUUUCUAGGGCUUGGAAUAAGCCAGAAAUCGUCCAAGGGCUUAUCUUGGAAUGGAUUUGGAUUGCUUUGAGUAAAAGUUAUCCAAUUAGGGUUUAAGGGUGAAACACUAGGAGCCUUACAAGUAUAAAUAGACCCUUAGGGCAAGGGAAAUCGGCACCUCUGCUAAAGCAAAGAAACCCUGGCCGAUUUCUAUUCCCUCUCCUCUCUCUCUCUCUCAAAUGAUCCUCUUGCUAGUUGGUGUUUGUAAGCCAUUAGAGGAGUGACAUUUGUGACUCUAAAGCUCCAAGAACAAGAAGAUCAAACAAGUGUUUCAAGGUAAGCUUCUAACUCUGAUUUUGUAUUGUUCUUAUACUCUAUUAGCUAUUAGAAGUCUUGGAUCCAAUGCAUGUUUAAUUAGAGAAACCUAGAUCCAAGCAUUAGGGUUUGUAUGUGCACAUAGGAAUGUUCAUAUGGCCAAAACCCAUCACUUAUGACAAAAAUCACAUAUCUCACGCAUGGCUUGACCCCAACGUCCUAGAUAGGAUUUUUAUGACUCUACCGCUGAAUAUACUCAAAGGGGUGGAUCAUAGUCUCUGGAGUGCAAUAUCAAAUAAAGUCUCCAACUUUUGCGACAAAACCGUAUAAUGCUCUACCAAGAUGCGAAUACCAAAAGAAUGAGAAAGUUUUGAGCUUUAUACCUCAAAAUGAAGCUCUACACUAACAUAAGGCCAAAUCCAAGGCCUGAAAUCCCACUCCUUCUUUAAGAAUCCUUCUUCACUCCAAAGUAACUCAAGCUCUAAUGCACUCACAAGCUCUAAAAAUAGAAAGUAGGGUUUAGGAGGGUUGGUGACUGAGAAUGGUGGUCAGAAAUGAAGCCAUCGUAUCCUUUAAAUUGGGGUCUCACCCUAAAUUAGGGUUUUCACUCUGAGCCUAGUACGCCCAGCGUACCCUCUGGUACACCCAACAUACUAGGUGGCUUCUGCGUCAAAUGCACGCAUAUGAGUACGCUGAGCGUACACUCGAGUACGACUCGCAUACUCAUUCACCACCUUCUCUCAUAAAGGGACUAAAAUGGCCAAAUACUCAAAAGACCAAGGGUCAUAGGGUAUACCUGAUCUCGGGAUGUUACAAUUAUCCCCCACUAGGAUCAAACUUCGCCCUCGAAGUCAUGCUCUGGGAAUAAAUCGGGAUAUUUCUCACACAUCUCUGACUCCGACUACCAAGUCGACUCGAACCUUCUAUGAUAUUGCCACUGCACUCGAACCAAGGGCAUCUCUUUGUUCCUCAAAACCUUCACCUUUCGAUCAAAAAUCGCGAUCUUGAUGUAAUUCAGGCUCCUAUCCACCUGAAUGUCCUCUAGGGGUACCACUGUCGUCUCAUGUGACAUCCCCAAUUUCAUGGCCAGAAAAAACCGAUUUGUUUAUGCUUUGUUUUAUAAAAUCAGAGUAAUCUUUUGAUUUAAAAGAGUUGUGGAAUAUGUUCCCAAAACAAAAUAUGAUAAAUUUUAUCAAAACGUUUCUCAAAGAGAAUUUAUUUUCAGUAAAUAAUAAAAUCUCGGGAUGUCAUAUUCCGAUAGAGACCAAAAGCAUAAACAAUACAAUACAGACCUUACAACAAUUAUUUACAACUACUGGUCUAUUAUCCAACAUCUCUCAUCAGGUCCACCAACUUAUACUCUUGUGCCAUUACCUGUAAUACAAAGAAAACUGAGUGGGUCAGGCUUGGGAACUUAGUGAGCAUAUAGGGUUUUCAACCCAUAAUAAUAUAAUUAUUAUAUUCAACCAUCAAACAAUCAACCAAAUUACCCAUCCCCAUUAUCUUCUUUAUUUCUCAAGGUUUUACCCUAAGAAUUCAACUAUCCUUCAUUCAUUCAUUCCUAAGGAUUGACCUAAGGAAUUGGCACAAAAUCCAUUGCUACAUAAGGCGCAUCUACCAACAUCAUCCUUUAAGCGCCUCUACCAGGACUACAUCAUACACUAUGAGGCGCGGCUACCAAGUUAAUGACAUUCUCUUUUAGGCGCAUCUACCGACAUUAUCCUAUAAAUGCAUCUGCCAGGAUUAUCCUAUAAGCGCAUCUGCUAGUAUUAUUACAUUCUUUAUUUGGUGCAUCUACCAAUAUUAUUCUUAAGCGCAUCUGCUAGUAUUAUGACAUUCUCUAAUUGGUGCAUCUGCCAAUAUCAUUCCUAAUCAUCUUUCAUACCUCAUCAUCUACCUCACCAUUUUAUCACAUAUCAACUAUCUCAUCUACCCAUGUUCUACCCAACAUACCUGUAGAUAUAAAAUACAUAUACAAUUUAACUCAUUUAAAAACUAUAUAAAACAUCCAUUCCACACUCAUCUCAAAUAAACAACAAUAUAUAAACACAUAGCAUGUAUUUCAUAGAAAAUACUUCCUAUUUAUGUGUUAGAAGAGAAUGACUACACACUCACACGUAUAAACAACAAUAUAUAUACACAUAACACGUAUUUUAUAUAAUACUUCUUAUUUAUGUGUAAGUUGAAAGUGACUAUACACUGACUUGAUCAGAAGAUGAUCGGACAUCACUACAGCUUGUAAAAGUAGUAUUCUUCGAUAGAUCUACAAGAUCUUCAUAAUAACUGGCUUCUCGCGGGCAGAGCUUCGGCUCGGGAACUUCACUUCUCGGGAUCUUCAGGGCUUCGGGACUUGCUUCGGGUCUCGGGAGUGAUACCGGCGCUUAGAGAUAUUUCUUGCAUGCAAAACGAUGCAAAACGAGAGAGAAAGGGAAGGAUGGAGCACCAAAACUCGGCAGCCCUCAACAUCUAUUUAUAGGGUGCUGGAAGAAGGACUACAUCGGGUGUAAUCUUAGGUACGCUGGGCGUAAUCUUAGUUACGCUGGGCUUAUGCUUCGGAUAAGCUUUGGUAUGCAUGCCUCGAACUUCAAUAAUUAAUAACUUUCACACACAAGCUCCGUUUUUGACGUUCUUCAUACCCACGCGUAGGUGAGACUAUGCUCUACAACUUUCAUUUAGACUCCGUCGGCUAAUUUUGAAUUUAUUUUUAUUAUAUUAUUUUUAGUAGGCCGGGGCAGGAAAACACCGUUAUAAAUUUAUAACUUCUUCAUCCGACGUCCAUUUUCGUCUGUCUUUUCACCAUUGCACUACUAAUAACGAGAUCUUCGAUUCUCGUUUAUAUUUCUUCGACAAAAAAUCACUCGAUCUCAAAUUCGAGUUUCAGGUUGCAUUUUGCUAAGCUGAAACUUAGAAAAAUCAUAACUUCCUCAUACGAAGUCAGAUUUGGGCAUUCUUUAUAUGCACGCUUUCGGUUCAAUGAACGCUACGACUUUCGUUUACAUCACUAAGGCUAGAUAUCGCUCUAUCUUGAAUUCAUAUUUUUCGUCAUUCAGCGUCGAGCCGGUUCUAUUGCGAAACUUCGACAGGUCAUAACUUCUUCAUUAUAAUUCGGAUUUCAGCGUUCUUUGUAUGUUCGGAAACCUCGUAACAUAUACUACAACUUAAUUAAGAUUAAUCUUUCUAAAUAAUCUUCCAUCAAGAAGUCGUUUUUUAUGCUUGUCGUCUCUACAUUGACUAGCCCUGAUCUACGGCGAUUACAUCUCAUCGGCUACACACUUCCUCAACUAUGACACGUGGAAGGUGUUAUGAAUCUGACUCAACUCUACAUGUAGCUCCAACCGGUAAGCUAACCUACCCACUCUAGUGGUCAUUUUGAAAGGACCAAUGUACCGAGGCCCCAAAUUGCCCUACUCCCAGAAUCGGAUUACUCUUUCCAUGUGGAUACCUUCAAGAGUACAAAAUGCUGAUCGGGAACUCCAGAUCAGAUCGCCGCCUGUAUGCAUAACUCUUGUGGUGACUCAGGGCCGUCAGUAACCUCUGUCUGACCUGCUGAAUGUGCUCAGUCGUCUUCAGCACUAUCUUAGUGCCACCCAUCACUCGUUGUCCUACCUCUCCCUAACAAAUGGGAGUCUGACACCUCCUCCCAUAAAGUAGCUCAAAGGGAGGCAAACCAAUACUCGAAUGAUGGCUGUUGUUGUAAGAAAACUCAGCUAAGGGCAAAUAAGUGUCCCGACUUCCUCCGAAGUCCAUCACACAUGCUCGCAUCAUGUCAUCAAGCAUCUAAAUAUUCUGAUCGCUCUGCCUAUCUAUAUGUGCAUGGUAUAUGGUGCUGAAGUGAAACCGAGUACCCAACUCCUCAUGAAAUUUCUUCCGGAACCUGGAAGUAAAACGCACGUCUCGGUCCGACAUUAUCGAGGUCGGCACUCCAUGCCGAGCUAGCACCUCUCUCACACAAAUCUCGACCAAUUUCUCUGCAGAAGAUCUCUUACUAAUGGCGAGGAAAUGAGCGCUCUUCGUCAGCGGGUCUACAAUCACCGAAAUUGCAUCGACUCCACGUGUAGUCCUCAGCAAAUUAGUGUGGAAAUAUGUUCCCACUUCCACUGGGGAAUCUCCAGAGGCUGUAACGGACCAUAAGGACACUGGUGCUCGGUCCUAACCUGACGACAUGUCAAGCACCUCUCAACUACCCAAGCCACGUCCCUCUUCAUACAUGGCCACCAAUAAUCUCUCUUUGGGUCCAAGUACAUCUUGGUAGCUCUUGGGUGGAUCAAGAAUCUCGAUCUAUGCGCCUCCUCCACCAAAAUACGGCGAGCUCCACUCGUGUAGGGCACCAAAUCUGCCCCCGGAAAGUCAUAAACCCUCGACUAUCGGGCAAAAACUCAGACACUUGGCCAAUCACAUGUUCCCUCUUGAGAUUCUCCGGUCUCAUGGCCUCUACCUGGGCCUCUUGAAUAGAAUCUAAAAUUGGAGUCAUCACCAUCAUUCUCAUGCACACAUCUCGGAUCGAAGCACUCUCUACUCUACGGCUCAGGGUGUUGGCUACCAUAUUAGCCUUGCUCGGAUGGUACAAGAUCUCGCAAUCAUAAUCUUUCACCACAUCCAACCACCUCCUCUAUAUCAUAUUUAGGUUGGGCUGAUCCAUGAGAUACUUCAGGCUCUCGUGGUCCGUAUAGAUCAUACACCUAACACCAUAAAGAUAGUAGCGCCAAAUCUUUAGGGCAAACACCACCGCUCCAAACUCCAAAUCAUGUGUGGGAUACCUUGUCUCGUGAGGCUUCAGCUUCCUCGACGUAUAUUCAAUCACGUGACCCCUCUGCAUUAACACUGCACCCAUCCCCGAGAUAGACGCAUCACAAUAGACCAAAAAGUCUUCUACCCCCUCCGAAAGGGCUAACACCGGAGCUUCGUACAAUAUCUGGCGAAGGGUCUCGAAAGGUGCCUGCAGCUCAGGCCCACAAACAAAAGUAACGCCCUUCCGGGUCAACUUAGUGAGAGGAACUGCAAUCUCGGAGAAAUCCCUGAUAAAUCUCCGAUAGUAGUUGGCCAAACCCAAAAAAAUCCAGAUCUAGGAUGGGGACCUCGGCACCUCCCAUUGCAUAACCGCCUCAAUCAUGGCCAAAUCGACCAAUAUCUCACUCUGAUUGACGGGAUGUCCUAGAAACUGGACCUCUCGUAGCCAGAAAUCACAUUUGGAGAAUUUAGCAUACAACCUCUCCGACCUCAAAACCCCCACAACCUCUCGCAAAUGCUCCUCGUGCUGCUCCCUGGAUCUCGAAUACACUAAGAUAUCAUCAAUGAACACAAUCAUCGACCGCUCCAAAAUAGGCCUACACACCCGGUUCAUGAGAUCCAUGAAUGUCGUCGGUGCAUUGGUAAGUCCAAAAGGUAUCAACACGAACUCGUAAUGCCCAUAACGAGUUCUAAAGGCCGUCUUAUGAAUAUGCUCCUCGCAUACUCUCAUCUGAUGAUAUUCAGAUCACAUAUCAAUCUUGGAGAACCAGGAUGCCCCCUGAAGCUGAUCGAAUAAAUCAUCACUCCUCAGAAGUGGGUAACGGUUCUUGACCGUCAACUUAUUCAACUCCUAGUAAUCGGUACACAUUCGGUGUGAACCAUCCUUUUUCGUGACAAAAAGGAUCGGCGCUCCCCAAGGCGAGCUACUCGGUCGAAUAAAUCCCUUCCCUAGCAGCUCCUAAAGUUGGGAGGAUAAAUCAUGCAUCUCUGGCAGUGCAAGAUGAUAAGAUGCCUUGGCGAUAGGUGCUGCUCCCAAAACAAUAUCAAUCUGAAAGUCAACCUGCCUCUCGAAAGGCACACCCGGUAACUCCUCAGGAAAACAUCAGGGAACUCACAUACAAUCGCAACCUCGGAGAUAGAACUCGGCCUCUCCCCACUAGGGUCUCGUAUAGUUACCAACUGGUGCUCGCAGUCGAUCAUCGCUCCAAGGCGGCUCUACCAAUCCAUGCCCACAAUGUCGCAAACAUCACCCAUCGUGAUCGGUACCAGGUCAAUCGGAUACUCAACACCAAAAAUAUCCAGCCCACAUCCUCGGAAAACCCCAGUAGCGAAGACCGCAUGCUCAUCUACUAUAGAAAUCCUCAGAGGUCGACUCAACGCCUCAUGUCGGAUACCGAUGUGACGACUAAAGGUUGGAGACACAAAUGAUCGACUCGCACCCGAGUCAAAUAACACUAAAGCAGGUAUAGAACUCACAAGAAAUGUACCUAAAUAUAGACCAAAAUAAUCACAAAAGAGAAUCUCAUAAUAAAUAAAUAAAUAGGGGAAUACAUACCAGUCACGACAUCAAGUGUUGCGCAGACCUCCUCUGCUGUUAGCUGAAAAACUCUCCCACGAGCCUUCAGAACCUCGGUGUUCACCGAUCGAACAUCAUUAGCACGUAAUGCAGCAGGAGUGGAACCCUGGGCUGAUCCCUGAACAAGUUGAGGGCACUCGGCCUUCCGAUGGCCGGUCUGAUUACAGUGGAAACAGACUGCAAAACCCCUGAGGAAAUGCUUCGCCAUAUGCCCUUCCUUGCCAUAUUUGUAUAAAAUCCAUGCACGACAAGCUCCCUCAUGACUCUUGCCGCACUUCCACAAGUCUGGCCCUUCUGGCCUCUUGAUCUCAAAUCAGUGGCCAUAGCCCGCUUGGUUUCCGGUUGCGACUGUGUUGGCCGUCGGUCUCUCCCAUGAGACUCCACGUCCUCGCACACCUAAGUCUCCAGCUCGAUCUCCCUCCUCCUGGAAUUUUCCUGGAUCUUAGAAAAUUUACGGUAAGACAAGUUCGCCAUGAACUCCCGAACAUCCCUCCUCAGAAUGCUCAAGUACCGACUCAUGCGUGCAUGCUCAGGACAAAACAACGCCCUCUACUGAAACAUCCACGUAAUCACAAUCACCGACUCUGUCUUUUGUCUAAGAGACAAAAACUCCUGGGCCAACUGUUCCCUCUCCAUAGGGGGAACAUACUUAUCUCAGAACAUCACGAAGAAUCGUUCCCGUGUCGCUACAGCAUGCUCUGCAGGGGUGAAACUAGUCGUCACAAACUUCCACCAAACCUUCGCUCCCAAGAGAAGUUGGUUCAACGCGAAUCGUACCCUCAGUUGCUAUGGGCAUGAUCAUGUGUAGAAACAUACCUCAACAUCAGAUAUCCACCUCAUCACAAAACUCGGAUCUUGUGUCCCAUCAAACUCUGGUGGCUUCGUGAUGCUGAACUCCCGGUACAGCAACGAGUCACCCCCCUACGGUCUGGCAGCAGCGACAAUUGCGGUGGCUGCAACAGCAGCCGCCUCAGAAACAUAGCAUAUCGCUCAUCAAAUGUCUCAAUCAAAGUGGUCUUUAUAGACCCAAACAUCCCCGGAAUAGCCUCCUGAAUGGCUGCAGCCACCUCGUCGUGAGUCAUCCAGCGAAUAUCAUCAUCGUUAACUCCACUACUCUCUGGGGUGUGGCGCGUACCUGUCAUGAUGUCUCUGAAACACAACAUAAAAUCAUUAGAAACUCGCUCGAGCAUACUCACACUCGACUACUCAUCCCUACUUGCUCCUUAGCAUCCCAAAGAUUCUUACUUGGAUCGCUUACAGACCGGGUGCUUUCAGUAGUACGGGCCCAAUACUACCUUCCACACCCCAUCUGUAGUCACCCCAAGUCCUCCUUCUAGGAUUCUAACUCAUAAAUACUCUAUGUCUCAUGAAUCUCGAUCUACUCUCUCAGUAGACCCCUCUCUUAAGUUUACCUAAGUAUUUAUUCCUAGAUUAUCUCCCGACUCAAAACUCAGCUCAUAAUCAAGCAAAUAACAAAUAACACUGAUCAAAAUAACUCCUAGACUAAGGCAUCACAAAUCAGGCAACUCUAGCCCUAAAAUAUGGAAUACUUAACCUACCCUCUAGCGUGCAAUCUUAGCAAAAUAUCUCAUAACACAAACGUAAGGGUAUUUUUGGGAUAUCACCGUUUGGCUCUAGCUGAUUGUACACACCGCUUCCAUUUAUUUUCUCUAAAAAAAACUCUUUCACAUUUUGGAAAAUUUCUCUUCUUUUGAAAAUUCUUCUGAAAUCAUUAGUUUGAGUCCAAACACACUCGGAGGUGCAUCCGAAUCUCUCAAACCAAGGCUCCGAUACCAACAUGUAACGACGUAAAAUUUUAACCAAAUUUGAAAUUUCAAAACACAUUGUUUUUAAUAAAUAAUUAUGAAAUGCCACAAUGUCAAUUCACCAAUAAUCAUGCUCAAAAGAAAUCAAUGUAUCAAACUCCAGGAUCCCCUAAAUCAUAAAAAAAAUCUCUGGUGUAUGUGUACAAUCAAGUCAGCGCCUUCCUGUGAUCCUGAGAAGUACCUGAAACACAUAACACAUACAUGGUAAGCACAAAGCUUAGUGAGUUCCCCAAAGUACCACACACAACACAUUAGCCACUUGAGGCUAUAACUCUAUAUGACCCUCCGAUCAACGUGUCUCAGUGGGACCCUCCAGUCCCAACUCAGCAAGCUCAAUAAUAACAAUACACUGCAUAAAUCACAAAGAUAUAAUGCGGAAUAUCAAAUACACAGAUACUCACAAUAAGCAGCUCAAUCACACAAGGCACCACUCAAGGCAAGUAUAGUGAGAAGACUCACCUUGCAAGAAGUCAGCAAAAACUCGAACUCAAACCACCGGUCUAGCCUUCGCCUAACAUACACAAUAAUUAUCCCUAAUAAAUCAUGACUCUCAAGAGGCUACGCUUUCUCACAGAAGGGUAAAAGACCAUUUUACCCCUCAAUGGCCCUAUUUGUCCAUAAUUUGACCCAAGCCCAAAAAGUCAACACAAGUCAGGAGCAGGGAGUAUGCCGCGCGUACCAGCUCCUUACGCUGGGCGUACUCGGCUGCCAUGCAGAUAUCGGGGAUGCGUGACCCAUACGCUACGCGUACCGGAAUUACACCCAGCGUACGCUCCAGUUUCACCCAUCUCACUUGUUUUAUCUUAAACAGUUAAGACCUUGGCUCAUAUCUCGGAUCUAGACUCUCUAAUAGCUCUUAACCCAUAAAGUCAGGGACUUCAAGCCAUUGCAUGGCUGGACAGGUCCCAAACACACAAAACGUUCACACUCUUAUGACAAAAAGCAUAUAUCUCAUGCAUGGCUUGACCCUAACAUCGAAGAUAAGAUUUUUAUGACUCAACACCACUAAAUAUACUCAAAGGGGGUGGAUCAUAGUCUCUGGUGUGCAAUAUCACAUAAAUCUCCAACUUUUGGGACAAAACUCUAGAAUACUCUACAAAGAUGCAAAAACCAAAAGAGGAAGAAAGUUCUGAGCUUUAUACCUCGAAAUAAAGCUCCACACUAAGAUAAGCCCAGAUCCAAGGCCUUAAAUCCCACUCGAGUACACCUUGCGUACUCAUUCACCACCUUUUCUCAUAAAAGGAGUAAAAUGGCCAAAUACUCAAAAGACCAAGGGUCACGUGGUAUACCUGAUCUUGGGAUGUUACAUCACUCUUGGUCAAUCUGUCCAUAAUGACCCAGAUAGAAUCAACACCAAGCGUCGACUUAGGCACUUCUGUGAUGAAGUCUAUAGUGAUAUCCUCCCACGUCCAAAUGGGAAUUGGUAACGGCUGCACCUUGCUGUGGGGCCUCUGAUGCUCGGCCUUAACUUUCCUACAAGUCAAGAAUCGCUCAACAAACCAAGAUAUCUCACUCUUCAUACAGGGCCAUCAACAGCACAAACUUAAAUUCCUAUACCUCUUUGUGUCCCCUGGACAUAUAUAAAACUUUGACUUAUAUACCUCCUCCAGUACCGUCUAUCUCACCCCACCUGAUGUCAGGACCCAAACUCUACCACACUGAGUCAGCAAUCCACGGUUGUCCAUGAAAAACAAGGGAAUUUGCCCCUGAUCCACUUAACCUUCCAAUUCUCCUUUUUUAAACCCUCUACUUGAGAUUCCUAGAUCAAAUCUAACAGAGGCAAGGUAACGACCAUCCUCAAGAAAACAUCUCUGAUUUGAGUACUUGCCAUCUUGCGGCUCAAUGCAUCGGUCACCACACUGGCCUUCCCAUAGUGGUACAGGAUCUCGCAAUCGUAACCCUUUACCACAUCCAACCAUCUAUGCUGCCUUAUAUUCAAAUUUGGCUAGUCUAUCAAAUAUAUCAAACUCUUGUGGUCAGUGUAGAUAGCACAUCAGACCCCAUAUAAAUAGUGCCUCCAAAUAUUGAGGAUGAAAACCAUAGCCCCCAACUCCAAAUCAUGCAUGGGGUAGGUCACCUCAUGAGGCUUCAGCUGCGUCAAAGUGUAUGCAAUCACAUGACCCCUUUGCAUAAGAACAACUCCCAAACCCGAGAUAGAGGAGUCACAAUAAAACACAAAUUCAUCCAAACCCUCAAGGAGCGCAAUAAUCGGGGCCUCACACAAUCUCUGCUCAGAGUCUCAAAAUCCAACUGUUGAUCUGGCCCUAACCAAGAGGUCACAUUCUUCUUUGUCAAACGGGUCAAUGGAACAACAAUAUUCUAGAAGUCCUAGAUAAAUCUCUGAUAAUACCCUACGAGACCUAAGAAACUUUGAAUCUUUGAUGUGGUCCUCGGGACCUCCCAACGCAUCACAGCCUCGAUCUUGGCCGGUCAACCAAGAUUCCAUCCUGGUUGACAGAUUUCCCCAGAAACUACACCUCGCACAACCAAAACUCACAUUUGGAGAAUUUGGCAUACAGUCUCUCCCUCUUCAGGGUCACCAAAACCUCUCACAAGUGUUGCUCAUGCUGAUCCUUGUUCUUGGAGUAGACCAGGAUAUCAUCAAUGAAAACAAUCAUAUAGCGAUCCAGGAUCGGCCUAGAGACCAAGUUCAUGAGAUCCAUGAAUGUUGCAAGUGCAUUGGUAAGCCCAAAAAUGCAUCACCACAAACUUUUAAUGACCAUAAGGAGUUUUGAAGGUAGUCUUUUGCACAUCCUCAUCCCGGACUCUCAUUGGUUGGUAUCAUGACCGCAAAUUAAUCUUGGCAAACCAUGAUGCACCCUGAAGCUGGUCAAACAAAUUGUCAAUCCUCGGGAGUAGGUAACGGUUCUUUAAUGUUAGCUUAUUCAACUCCUGAUAGUCAAUGCACAUCCUGUGUGUACUGUCCUUCUUCUUAACAAACAUGAUAGGUGCUCCCUAUGGAGAACUUCUUGGAUGAAUAAAACCCUUGUUUAGGAGCUCCUACAGCUGCGUAGACAACUUCUAUAUCUCAAUUGGUUACAGGCGAUACGUCGCAUUGGCUAUUGAAGUCGUACCAGGUACCAAAUCAAUCUGAAACUCGAGUUAACUCUCGGGAAGCGCUCCGGGCAACUCCCCAGGAAAAACAUCAGGAAAAUCCCGCACAAUGGGUACCUUUCUCAACUCCGUCGUGGCCUUAACCUGUGUGUCAAAAACAUAAGCUAGAAACCCAGAACAACUCUAAUGCAGAUAUCUCAUAGCUCUUGCAACUGAAUAAAGAGCUGGUCCAUCCAAAGCUCUCUCACUAGAAAUAACUAGAACUCCCCCACUUUGGAUUCAAACUCACACCAACAUCCACUCACAAUCAGUCUCAAACCUAUUAGGGCCCAACUGAUCCAUCAUAAUGAUAACCUUCGAUCUUCUCAAGGGAAUUGACACAAAAUCAAUAGGAAACCGCUCAUUGAACAUGUUCAGAAAACAUCCACAGGAACCCUAGAAGCACUCAUGGUAUGGUCAUCCACAAUCUCCACAUCUAGAGGGGAAUCCAAAGUCCCCAUAGCGUCUCGAAACUUCUUGUUGAGCACAAGAGAUACGAAGGGUCGGGUAGCCCCCGAAUCAAACAGAAUAAGAGCAGACAAACCGUUAAACAAAAAGGUCCCUAUACAAGAUCAUAAUAAACAUAAGCAUAAACAAGGAAAACAAAAAAAGAUAGUGUUAUAACACAUACCAGGAACUACAUCCAACGCUGCAUGGGCCUCAUCUUUUGUUAGUUGAAAAGCCUUGAUCUUCACCACAUGAGCCACCACAUGUCAUGGCGGCCAUCGUUACUCCUCAAGGUGGAUGGCGCAGGAACCACCACUACUCCCCCAAAAAAUCUCAGACAAACCACCUUUUUAUGGCCAAUCUGAUUACAAUGACAGCAAAUUAGAGCCCUCUUGUGGCAAUCCCUGCUCACAUGACCCAAGUGGCCACAACUGAAACAUCAUGAACCUGUUGAUCGGCAAGCUCCACUAUGCGGCUCUCCGCACUUGGUGCAAUGGCCACAACCCUGUUGUCCUCUGGAGUAGGUAUCGGACGUCUUGGGUCUCUUAGCCUGACCCAAAACUGUCUGAACCUAUUCCUCGUCCGAUCUUCCAACUCAAUCUCCCGCUCGCGGACCUUCUCGAUCUUGUCAUUCAGGGUCCUGCACCCCAAGAAGCUCACAAACUCCCUAAUAUUGCCCCUCAAUAUAUCACAAUAUAUCUUCAUCUAAACCGUAUUGUGGAACAAACAAUAAUCUCUCCCUGAAUUUCGCGGUAAUCUUCUGCACAGUCUCUGUAGUCUGGAGAAGGUCCUGUAACUCCCUUGCCAGUUGUUGCACCUCUAUAGUUGGUGCAAACUCCCUCUGAAACGUCUAAACAAAAUACUCCAAUUUCAUCAUAGCCACUAUCGCCGACCCUACCACUCGAGUAACCUCAUCCCACCAGUUUCGCGCUCUGUCCCUCAUUAAGCAGGAUGCGAAUCCCACCUUUUCCCCCUCAGGCCAAAAACUCGUACGCUGAUCAUUCUCCAUGUUAGCGAUCCAACGAUGGCUAGAUAUAGGGUCCUUAACCCCAAAGAACUUAGGUGCUCCACAUGCCUUGAACUCCCGAAAUAAGGGAGUUCAUGCCCUAGCCUGCAUCGCAUGAAUCUAGGCUCGAAAAGACCUAAGCAGCUCCUCCAUGAUCUCCAAAAUCCCAUCCUUGACGGUAUCGAGGAUCAUGGGGUAGCAUCAACAAUACCCCAAGUAACCUUGGCUGCAAUAAGCUCGCACUGCCUCUCAUCAAUCGGUACUAAACCUAAGCCAGAACCUGAACCCGAUCCAGAGCAAGAACCAGUACCUCCCAAUCCCAAAUGAGUGGCUACCAUCCUCAAUCUAAAACACAAUAUAUAAACAAUAAACAAACAGUCAAGGGUAACUCUCAACACACAGGUACCCUUAGAAUCCCCAGAUCUACACUUAUCUCACAUACAUGUCAUGUGCUUCCAGCAGUACAGGCCCAAUACUACCUUCCACGCAUACUUUUACUUUCCUCGAGAUAAAUUUUGAACCCUCUAAGUUACCACACUAAACGCUAGAACAACCUAUGCUACAAAACAUACAUAUCCUAGACUCUUCUAGGAACUCUCAACCCUCAACACUAGCAAUACCAAGAACCUUAAUCAACACCAUUGGUUGCCUUAUGCGUGCAGGUUGUACACAAGAUAAGAUCAUAUAGACUGUCGAAUGAAGAUUCUACCCUAAGUCCACAACCAAACAAGGAACAUGAAAUGAGGCUAAAUCGAUCAUUCUAGGGCCAUACAAUCCUAAACAUAUACAACUUUGAAAGCAUACACAUAGCAAAUAACUGAGUCGGUAUCAACUCCAUGUAAUACAUGGCAUCAAUUUUUAUCGAGCUAUUAGGAAUCACACAAAUCAAGCAGUUCUAUCAUAUGAUUCUUGAAGGUAUCCUUAGUCCUAAUCUAGUAUGCAAUUUACAUAUCAAGUAUACUAAUCACAAUACAUAAGUACGGGUAACUUGGGAUACACUUACUUGAGCUCGGCUGAUUGCACGCAUUUCACUACCCUUUUUCUUAAAAGUGUCUUUUAAAUAAAUUUAAUUUCUUUUUGUUUUGGAAACAUUAUCAUUUCCUCAGUUUCAGUUCUGACACAUUCGAAAGUUUGCCCGAAUCCCUCAAACCAAGGCUCUAAUACCAACUUGUAACGACCCAAAAAUCAAGAUAAAAUUUUUCAUUUUAAAACAUGAGUUACAACCAUCCCAUUGUUCCAAAACCAUCACAUAAUCAAUAAUGCUAAACAUCAUAGUAUAAUAUCAAAAAUGCGGAAAUAGUGAGAAGAGAAUGGUGUGUCAUCACGUCGGGCCCUUCCCCUUAGUACCAGAAGUACGUGAAACCACAAAUAUAAACUGUAAGCAAAAGCUUAGUGAGUUUCCCCAAGUACCCCAUACCAAACAUAAAUAAGUUAGUGUUAUGGGCCAAACCAUAGUCUUACAAGCAAUUUCAUGUAGAGGGCAAAAUCACAGUCUUCCAUAUAGUUGCCAGGGGUCAGAUACUAGUCUUUCAUACACGUAUCUAAAAUAUGGCUAAAGCCCUAUAUCACAAAUAAUGAGUGGGCCUUGAUGCCUUUGUCCUAUUGAUACAGUGAGAAAACUAACCUCAGUUUGCUAAAACGUAACUAAAUGCUCGACUACCGAACCGGAAGAUCCCACACUAAACACAAACAAAUCAUUCAAAUAAUUAAUUGGUUAUAAACCAUAACCAUGGGCCAAAAUGCCAAAUCUAGACCCCUAAGGUAAAAGCCCAUUUACCUUUGCCAUAAUGGGCCUAACCAAAUUUGGCCUAAUAACACAAUAAUGGACUCCAAGGCCCAAAAAGGCCCAACUCAAUCAACUUAAGUCCCACUAACAAAAUGCUAAGGCCUAAUCAUUCAUCAAACAGUCCAAAGCCCAAAGUCAAAAGCCCAACCGAAUGCCAAAAACCCAAGGAAAGUCUGUGUGAGGCGUUCGCUUGGUGUAUGCAUUGUAUGCUUGGCGUAUUCGAUCACUAAUAUUUACGCACAAUGUACCCCUUGGUAUGCCUGGCGUACUAAGUUGUUUGCCACCUUAAGCCAAAAAGUGUUUAAUCCAUUCAACCAUAAGGUCCAUCUUUCAGAUCUCGUCCAUUUUAGGGUUCUAAUACAUAAAGUUUGCAAAUUUAUCUUUUAGCAUGUCUUAAUGACGCCCAACAUCAUUUUUUAUCGAUCAAGGCUCAUACUAAGAACUUAAAUUCAGGCAUGGGCUCAUAUCAACCAUCAAGAUGACAUUCUAUGCAACUAUAGCAGCAAAGGGACAGAGAUCUACCGCCUCUAACUCCUGGAGUUGACCAAACUCGCCAAGAGAACCAUGGGACCAAAUAAUGCUCAUUUUCAUGCCUUAAACUCUAACUAUCAAAUGCAUCAUCAAGGUAAAAACUUUUUACCUUCAAAAGCUCCCAAAGUUGAUGAAAACUAUCGAUAUAGAAGCUCAACCUCAACAAAUGCUUGGUCUCCAAGUUCCUUCUUCUUGAAAACACACAAAAAUGCCACAAAAGUCAUUUCAAAGCUCAACAACACUCAAAAGGAUGAACUAGGGUUAAAGAGGAUGUAAUGAAUAGUGGGGUUGAUGAGGGUGAGUGUCAAAAGGCCAUAAUGUUGUUUAAAUAGGGCUCAUACCUAAAAAAAUAGGGUAUGGUCUUGGCUAUCGUACGCCCUGCGUACGCCACGUACGCCCAACAUAUGUGGUUACGUUCCCUGAUUCCAUGCACACAUAUAUGCUAAGCAUACCAAAUGUACACCCAACGUACGAGGGGACCAUUUUUGCAAAAAAUUCAAAAUUAUAGGAGCGAACAAGAGCAUACAUGGAAUCGAAUGUUACAAUUUACUUCAUUUUUUUUUCAAAAUUCAGAAGUAUAAAACUAAAGUAACUACUUUGAUAAAGUAAGAAAAACCAUCACCAUCUAACAUAGUUUGUAGGUAAGAGAUUUCACAGUAUAUAUAUUAUAUAUAUUUUUUUGUAAGACAGUCAUGCACAACAUAAUUUUUUGCAAACAUUAUAUAUGCAUGUGUUUCCUAGUUAUUGAUACAUUAAAACUUACUCUACGCUCAAGCACUAUUAACACCUUCACCAAAUAUGUUUGUUGUUGAAUGACACUUUUCAAUACUUAGCAACGUAUAGUGGUGUGGUAUCCCUGUUUACAGAAUUAUGAGUGAUAGCAACAACUAAGAGUAUUUUUACUUUUUCUUUUCACAUUGCAUUUAUUUUGUCCCAUGUGUCUUGCAAAUUUUUCAUACUUUCACGAUCCAUCUCCAAAGCAUGUUGACUUUCUCUCUCAAGUUUAGUUCGUUUACAAAUGGGUGAAUAUGGAAAAAAUUGAUUUGAUAAUUGCAUUUUCAUCCGUGUAAAUUAAGAUUUAAGUAAGUGAUAGUGUGCACCAAUCUCACUUUAUAUAAGAAAGGUAUAAUGUAUAGUCCAUCAUUAUAGUCUAUAUUGCAUACGUUAUUUUUCAUGUUUUGGGAUACACGGUUUACAAAGUAUUCAUGUUUAGAUGCUUGGUGUCUGCAUACUUCGGGAGUGUAUACAUGUUUAAUAAAAGCAUUAACCACAAUUUACGCAAAGCAUUUUCAUAAAACAUGACCUUUAUGUUACAUUCAUUACGAUAUGUAGUUUUAAUUAAUUUCCUUUCCCCUUUAUGUCAAUAUGUUCUAACUGUCAGAAGAUCAUAUUGAUCACUUCUUGUGCCCCUCUUUCUCUCUCUCUUGCCCAAUGUCUUGUAGUCCGUCUUUCAGCAUGUCAACUAACACAAUUUAUGAAAUCAGACUACAAACACCACAUGACUUUGAAUAUGGAAUUUUAUAAUGAGAAACUAAUAGACCACAACACGUUUAUGGUGAUUGGGUUGAGAGGAAUGUUCGAAAGAAGCCAUUUUGGUUACCAUAAUAGUUUUUUUUGGAUUAUGUGUCUAAGCCAAUAACUAUAAUUGGUAUGCAUUUGAUUUGAUAGUAGCAUGGUCCUUUUAGGUUGCUGUUACUCAUGCAACUUGACAGGAUGACUCGUCGAGAGAGAGAGAGAGAGAGAGAGAGAGAGAGUAGGAUUUAUUAUUUGAAAUAAUAAAUUGGUACUCAAAAUGGUUUUAUUAAUAUAUUAUAAGAUUAAUAUAUUAUAUGGAAAUCAUAUUAUUAAUUAGUAUAUAACUAGAAAUUAAUUUGGUAUUAAUUUUGGGAUUAAAGGAACUCAUUAAUAAUGGAUGGGCGGUUUUGCAAAUCAAUAAUAGUUGUGAAACUGGGCUAUUGGACCCCUUAAUCAGGAGUGGGCGAAAUGAUAUAGGGAGGUCCUAUAGAUUUCGUCAAAGGCCUACUGGUAACAAAUCUAGGGGCUGCUUAAGCCUUAAGCAGGAAAUUAGGGUUUCCACUUGAAAACCCAAGCAACCCACAACUAUAUAACCCCCCCCCCCACCCCCACNGUAACCCACAACUAUAUAAAUCCCCGCAAGCAUUAGAAUUUUGGCCCAAUGCUUCAUUGAAUAACCCUAGCCAGUUUUCUAGUGUCUCUCCUCUCAUCUUGUUGCAUUGGGUGUUUGUGACUUCGUUAGAGGUGCAACGAUUGAGGCAUUAAGCUUUCAAGACUAAAGAUCAACAAAGGUGUUCUUGUGACUGCUAAAUAACAAGUGAGGUAACAUUCUAACCCUAAUUUCAUAUGGAUUUCGAAAUUCUAUGCUAGUUUUAGGGUUAUUGCUUUGCUAUUCAAUUUGCAUGUGCAAUUAGUGAAAAACUUUGAUCCAAAGCAAUUAGGGUUGCAUGAUCACAUAGGAAUGUGGAUUUGCUUAUAACCCAACACUGGUAUCGGAGCCUAGGAUGUUUUUCAAGUGAAAUGAUGCAAUAGUGAACUGUCUAAAGUAGCACAAAAUCGAUUUUUAGCUUUCUGUAGCUGGAACUCGACGAGUUUAGUAUCCAACUCAACAAGUUGACUCGUCAGUCCCCUAUUUUUUCAAUUUUAAGAUAUGGUUUUGAUCAGGAUAAUUGCCUUAUUUCAUUUUUAAUGCCUAAAAUCGAAUUUUCUAAAAGGUAAUAUGAUAUACUUAUCAAAAUUGAAGGAUUUUGUUGAAUUUGAGAUAAAUAUAAAAUUAUUUUGGAUAAAUAUAAAAUAGUUUUAUUUCUAAAAUUUAACCUAGUGUUUUGAAAACUUUCAAAGACACACCCUUUGGUUUUCUAAUUUAAAAUUUAAUUUAAUAGUUUUAAUUUUGAAAUCUUAAAUUUUAAAACCCUGGUAUUUUAAAUAGUUUAAAAAAUACACCCUCAUUAAUUUUAUUAAUAACUUAAUUGAGAGAUUAAUUAAAAGACAAUUAAUAAAUCUACAUAUGGUUUAAAUUUAACUAAAUUAAAAGUUUAAUUUAUUAAAGGAUUAAACCAAUUAGUAUUUUAAUAGUUUAAAAUACACCCUUAUACUAUAUAAAAUUAAAAUUUUAAGUAAUAUAUAUAUAUAUAUAUAUAUGUGUGUGUGUGUGUGUGUGUAAGAUAAGUCAGUCUUACCAUUAGUAGGCCUCAUUCACGACGCUGGUCUAUAAGGGGUGUUUAAGGAAGCAGCUUGUAAAAUGAUCGUCAUUGGGUAUCCACUUUUCCCCACCGCACUCUUGACUAGUGGAGGGCCGUUAGCCGAACGGGUAGGAUACAACAUUAUACUACAUUAAAAGUAUAAUGAGUUAUAAAGUAACUAAAUGCUUUUAUAAAAUUCUCAAUCUUAGUUAGUUUAGGAAAAAUAUGAAUUUGAUGCUAACCCAUGAAAUUGCACAUUGCACCUUAUUGGUUGUUAGUGGAGCGUGUGUGGUUAACCGACACACUAAUAUGGACUAAUAUUGUUGGCAAUGGGUUUCUCAUAAAUUAUCAUUGAUCAAUGAAGCUUGUGUCAUUAACCGACACAUUGAUUAGGAGAUGAAUGACAUAAAGAGUACCAAGCUAAUUUUCAUGGUUAUUCACAUCUCGUUUGUGAUUAUCGGCAUCCUAGUCACAUAGUGAUAGCAUAAUCGAGAUUAAAAAUGCCAUUGAGAAGUUCAAUGAAUCUCAAAAGAUCUAGGAAAUUCAUCUAAAACCUAAUUUGUAAAAAAUUUGGUUUUCGUGGUGAAAUUGGUAAAUUGUCAUUUACCUACUUUCGAAUAAUUUUCAAUUGGAUUACGACAUCCCUCUUCUGAAUUGUAAAUUCUUAUGUUGGGUCCUAGCUUUAAUAUUUCAUUUUGGUCUUAUAUUAAGGAUCUAAAUCACCUGACUUGAAUUUUCUCCCUCUUGUAGAUGUCUAGUUCUGACAACUCUAGUCUUCCUCAUCCUUUUGGAAAAAGCUUUCCGUCUGAAGAUGAUCUUCCACGUGUCGAUCAAGGUGAAAGAUCAUUCCCUUCUUUGUGCAUUGGUGGAACUGGAAAUCAUACUUCUCUUCCUCUACCUCCUCCAGUAAUUCUCCUGCCCCACAUUUUCGUCAACUUGAAAAGUUCAAGGUUACUCAAGCCCUGUUGGCAUGAAAAAACCAAGAUGGAAAGUCUAUGUGUGCAGAUGUCCUCAAGAUGAAGUCGCACAUUGACAUAUUAGGAAUGUUGGGUGUCGUUUUCCCAAGGGAGCUAGCUGUUGACUUGGUUCUUCAAUCGCUUCCUGAAUCAUAUAGUUAAUUCGUUAAUGAAUACUAUAUGAAAGACCAUGACGUGACCCUUAUUGAUCUGACAUAUUUGCUAAUUGUUGAUGAAGGGGAAAUGCUUGGCGCACUGGUCAAGCAAAUAUGUUUGGAGGAUCUAUUUCCCAAAGUUCCAUGGACAUUAGUGAUGGCAACAAUGAUAAUCCAAAAAUGGUUUCUCUUCCUAAGGGAGAGAAAUCAGCCAAGGUAAAAAUGGUUGGCCAUAAAAGAAAGACCGAUUCUGAGAUAAUUUCACGUGUCAUUCCUAAAGAGUCUAUUUGUCUCUAUUGUUGAUUGAAGGGGCAUUGGAAGCGAAGCUUCCCUGACUACUUGAGAGAUCAUAGAGAUGGUAAAGUCAAAUUGUAUGACUCUACUUCAGGUAAGUCCACUAUCUAACUCUAUUAAGUUCCUAUUUAUAGACUCUUAUUACAUGAUGUGUUAACCACAUUUUGAUGUUUUGUAGGAUCAAAGAGAAAAAAGGAAGCUUAAAGGAAGAGUUGUCUGAUUCUGAUAUGAAGAAAUGGAUUUUGGUCACACAGUUCAAUUAUCACGAUUCGGAGCUGCUAAUUAGGAGUUAUGAUAGAUUGCUUAGGAAUAUCUAGAAACAUAGAUUUCAUAUGUAUUUGCGUUGUAAGGAAAAGUUUUCCACACAUUAUUAAUAAAAUAAAUGUUUGUUUUAUCUUAUUUUCUUUAUGAUUACUUGCAAUGGUAUUUAUGAAAAUUGGUGUUUAAAUUUCUAUUAUUAGCAAUGUUAAAAAUGGAUUUGAUUCUUUGUUAUAUCACUUCUGGUAGUGUCAUAAUUUACCAAGUGAGGAAGGAUUUGUAUCACCCAAGUUUAAUUGGACAGAAACUUAGAGUCAUGCGAUUUGGAUUUUGUGAUGUAUGAGAAUCUUGAUCUUUGGUAAAUUGAGAUUAAUUCCUUGUUCAUAUGUAUAUGUGAGUUAAGUGAAGGAUUAAAGGAUCUAGUACACAUUAAUGUGAACUGGUCAGAUUUACCACAAAGGACGAUAACUUCUAUUCGUCAUGAUUUAAUGUGGAUUCAGUAAAUAUGGUUAUGCUUACAAGAUUAAGUGUAAUUCUGAUACCUUGAAAAAGUUUCAAAGUACAACAUAACGAAUAAGAAGAAUCCAUUGGGCAAAAAGAUAGAAGUUUCUCCAAUCUGAAAGGAAAUGAGAGUACUUUAGUAUCAUGUUUUAUGAUCUUCCAAAUGGUUAUGGAACCAUGUCAUAAUUGAUCCUCUAAGGACACCUUAGUGCAUUUAUAUGAAUAAGAAGAGGAAUCAAGAAUUAUGGAAUGGUUAAAUCAAGAAGAUGAGUCAUACUUACUUCCAAAAAUGAUUUUUAGAGUUAUACUCUAGUUACUCCAAGUUGUACCUUGAGUAACAUGUUCUAAGUAGGUUUAUAACACCUCAUGAAAUGUGGAGUAGAAAUGUUUUCUUGCUCUAGCACAUUUGAAAUUGGUAUUUGUGAUGUUUUAGUUAAAACAAAUACCAUCUAAGACUAAUUAUAUGAAGUAUUUUCUUGAUAAGAACCCACACUAACUCUUGAAUAUAUCUUUGUCAAGGAAUGAUCCUUGAUAGAGAAUAUUUGUGAGGAAACGCUUUCACUUGUGGAUUUUAUAGGAGUGGUUAAUAUCAUUAGAUUUAGCAGUUGUGAUAAUUAUGUUCUCAAAUUCAAGUAUGAUUACGACAUCCCUUUUCGUAGUUCGAGUUGUGAGAAAUGGCAAAUAGUUAUUCGAGACUUAUUGUUAUAAGUUCUGAAAGGCUUUAGACACAUACAUAAGUUUUCUAAUGAAAGGUGUAUGAACUUGAGAAGUCUAUAUAAGGACUUAUCAAAGCACCACAUAUGAGAAAUCUGAAUUAUGCUAAGAAAGCCAAUAGGUAUUGAUUUCUAGAAGUCCAGCUGAUUUCUGGGCACAUGUCAAAGCUAGUGGGAGCAUAAUUAUUCUACUAAGUGUUGCAAGUAGGCAAUGCUAGUUGUAGGAAAUAAAGGUUAUAGAUUUGGAAGUUGCAAAGUUUGGAAGUAGUUUCGCUAUAAUAAGGCUUAUGGGAGAGGGAACUAAUACUUCAUUUCAAAUCUAAAAUUUUAGAUUGAAGGAUCUUAUAGAACUUACUCAUAAACAUAUAUGAAUAUCAUGUUGAAGUGAUUCAACAUAGGAGAUUUGAUAUAUGGUAAUAUUAUAGCAAGAGAAUGAUCUAGCAUCAUGUCCUUAUGUAAGACAUUAUGAGUUGAAUCCCAUAUGCGUAAAAUAUAGGAUCGAUUGCAUAUCUUAUAAUAUUCACUUGUUCUGAUUUUCUAAAUGCCUAGCGCAUUAAGAGGGAAAAAGGACUAGAACUUGAUAUGACUAAAGUUGUUAAACAAUUGUCAAGGACUAUCUGAGGUUCGCUAAUUGGUUUCUUGUGGACAACUGGAAGUAUAGUAUAAUUUUGGUAGGACUAUAUUGACAUGUUCUGAAUACAGGUAACUCUUGUUCAGAACUAAUAGUGAUAUGGGAAUAUCCAAAUGUUUCCAUAGCUGGAGUUGGUUAUUGAGAUAUGUGUGUGAGGUUAGUAAUUUUAAUGCGAGAAGGAUGUUUAAGGAAUGCUAUUUGAAUAUGAGACUUCGUUUCCAUGGAAUUGUUUUUGUAACAAAUCUCCAAUGGAAUACUUUGUAAUAUCAUUGGCAAAGUCUCUGUGACUUUGGUGCCUCGACAUUACAAAAGGAUCAUUAUAUGAAAGGUCAGACUCUAACACAUUCUAGUAGUGUCAAAAAUUUGGUAUUCUUACACUUGUGAUAAGGAUUUGGAAUUGUGAAAUGAGCAUCAUUGGAAAUGUGUUCAAUUGAUCUAUUUCACAAAGAAAGGACCAUAUAUAAACAUAGUGUGCGUGCUUGGAGCAAGUCAUGAUUGUUGUUUUAAUUCAAGCAUUAAUUUGAUUAAUGGAAACAUUAUACAAUGAAUAAAGUCUAGUUAAUAUGGUGAUUAAUUAAUAAAUGUUUUAUUUAUACUUAAAAGUUUUAGACCAUAGUUAAUUAGGUUAUUCUUGUGUUUCACUUUGCAUGUUUUACUUCCCGAAUAACUAGGUUAUUCAAACAUCCACAAUCAAUCAUACCUUUGGAAGUAAGUAGUGAAUUAAGACUAUCAAGAAUCCGAUGGUAGAUUGUCUAAGAGUUUAGACAUGGAACAAGUUUGUUGUUGUGUUCAUGAGUACUCUUGAAAUAGAAAUUUGAGUAUUGGAUUAGCCCACACUCAGUGAAUUACUUCAUGGAUUUUAUCACGAGUAAGUCUGAGAUGAUAGUAUCUUAUAUUCUUGAAACGAAGACAUAUGAUUUGUUUACAAGUCGGUUGUGCAUUGAUAAUAUGUAAAUGCAUCAGUAACUUGAUGUUAUAAAACGUAUUGUUGUGUGUGAUUUGAUGAGUAAAUAGUGAAAGAAUAUGAGUCGAAGUUUAUCCGUUCCUUUUACCCUAAAUGGGAUAAAAGCGAUAUUUGUUGGCCCCACGAUGAUUUAGUGAUGACACCCUAAGCGCUUGGCCAAGCAUGGACUAAGUUGAUGUGUUCAAUUGUAGUCCGAGUUAGUCAUCAUGAAUCGGAAAUUGGGAAACAAACCUUGGACAUAUAGAAUGAGUAUAAUCCAUGUCUAAUGUCUAUACGAUAUCUUGUAGAAUAGUGGGAUAUUUGAUCACGUAUCUAAAGGAUGUGUCAUUAAUUAGAUCAGAGUUUGACAGCAGCUUUUGAAAGCUAAUAUUGUUGGUCAAAUUUUGAAGUCAUACUUGCAAUAAUAGUUAUUACAUUUAUCCAAGUGGGAGACUGUUGUAUUAGGUGUCUAAACUCAUAACUAUAAUUAGCAUGCACUUGAUUUGAUAGUAGGAUGGUCCUUUUGGGUUGCCUUCACUCAUGCAACUUGACAGGAUGACUGGUGGAGAGAGAGAGAGAAAGAGAGAGAUAGUAGGAUUUAUUAUAUGAAAUAUCAAAUUGGUACUCAAAAUGAUUUUAUUAAUAUAUUAUAAGAUUAAUAUAUUAUUUGAAAUCAUAUUCUAAAUUAGUAUUUAAUCAGAAAUUAAUUUGGUAUUAAUUUUGGGAUUAAAGGAACUGAUUAAUAAUGAUGGGGCUAUUUUUGUAAAUCAUUGAUAGUUGUGAAACUGGGCUAUUGGACCCCUUAAUUAGGAGUUGACGAAAUCAUAUAGGAAGGCCAUAUAGAUUUCGUCCAAGGCCUACUGGUAAGAGGUCCAUGGGUUGCUGAAGCCUUAAGCAGGAAAUUAGGGUUUCCACCUGAAAACCCUAGCAGCCCAAAACCAUAUACCCCCCCCCCCCNNNNNNNNNNNNUCGACCCAAUGCUUCCUUGAAGAACCCUAGCCGGUUUUCUAGUGUCUCUCCUCUCAUCUUGUUGCAUUGGUUAUUUGUAACUCCAUUAGAGGUGCAACAAUUGGGGCAUUAAACUUUCAAGAGUCAAGAUCAACAAAGGUAUUCUUGUUAUUGCUACAUAACAUGUGAGGUAACAUUUUAAUCCUAAUUUCAUAGGGAUUUCGAAAUUGUAUCCUAGUUUUAGGGUUAUUGCUUUGGUAUUCAAUUUGCAUCUUCAAUUAGUGAAAAACUUAGAUCUAAAACAAUUAGGGUUGCAUGAUCAUAGAGGAAUGUAGAUACGCGUAUAACCCAACAGUUUUUCUCAUAAAAAUGAACAUUUCGGAUUCCGAUUAAGAAUUAUAUAUUUCGGACUGAAAUUCUAGAUUUUGAGCAAAUAACUUUAGAACUUCUAGUUCAAAUCCGAAAUCGGAUGAACAAUUUCACAAUUUCGAGAAAAAAUAGUUUGUUUUUUUACAAGAUUUCAACAAAAAGUUAAAUAAACAUAGCAAAUGAGAAAUGUGUGUGUGUGUAUAUAUAUAUAUACACACACACACAAACACACACACACACACACAGAGACGAUACUAUGGCCUAAAACUGUUCAUUUAACUAAAAAUGGUGAUAUUAGACUCUUUAAAAUGAACAUUUCGAACAUGAGUUGAGAUUUUUUUUUAGUUUUGUGCAAAUGAAAACAUAGUCUAGAAUUUCAAGAAUAAGUUUGUAAUGUAGCAUUUCGGAUAAAAUACGGUUAUUUUUCAAAAACAAUAAAAAAUGGUUAUUUUUAUUAAUAAACUCCUUUAUAAGGGUUAAUAUAGUGAAUAUCUCUUAGGUGUUGUUUUUUUUUUCUUCUGAGGCAAAAUGUAUGUAGUUUGUGGACUAUAUCUGCAAACCUCUGCAGUAGAAAAUGUGUACCAAAUAUCUACAGUCUGAAAGAAAAAGAUUGUUUGUUUUUUAACAUCUGCAGGGUGUUAGAAUAAAUUAAAAUCUAAUUAAAUUGAUUUUAAAAAAAAAAAACCUUAAAAGAGUUUUUUUUUUAUAAUUUUAUAACUUUAUCAUAGAUAAUUAACAAAUAUGGAUUAACUUUAAUGCACCACUGUAUAAAAAGUGAAAAUAAAAUGGUAAGAAUUAUCGUAUAUAUUUGAUAAGAACCAAUAAACUUUGAUUGGAAAGUUAUACAUAAACAUUAUAAUUAGGAAUAAAAUAAUUUAACAGAUAACAAGAAUGGAGAUAAACUUUGAUUUUAAAUGAAAAUUCUCAAAGUUUUAUUUUACUUUUUCAUUUGAAUUUAUUAGAAACUAACCAUAAAUAUUUUUCCCAAGAAAUAGAUGAUACUGCAUUAAAUAAUNNNNNNNNNNNNNNNNNNNNNNNNNNNNNNNNNNNNNNNNNNNNNNNNNNNNNNNNNNNNNNNNNNNNNNNNNNNNNNNNNNNNNNNNNNNNNNNNNNNNNNNNNNNNNNNNNNNNNNNNNNNNNNNNNNNNNNNNNNNNNNNNNNNNNNNNNNNNNNNNNNNNNNNNNNNNNNNNNNNNNNNNNNNNNNNNNNNNNNNNNNNNNNNNNNNNNNNNNNNNNNNNNNNNNNNNNNNNNNNNNNNNNNUAUAUAUAUAUAUAUAAAAGAUAAUAUUAUAAUUUUUUGCAUAUCUAUAUAAACAACUCCACAAAUUAUUAUUGUAAUUAAAUAUUUAUUUAUAAAUUUGACACAAAAGUCAUGAUUGUGUUAUCGAAUAUUUUUUUCUUUCAGUAUUCUAACAUUUUUUCUAAUUUAUUUAUAAUAGAUAAAGUUAGAAUAAAUCUAAGUUUAAAAAAAUAAAGAAACUACAAAAGUAUAUGUGUUUUUUUAGGUUAGAAGAUGUCUGAAAAGGUUUAAAGAUUUUGGUCCACAUCUAUGUUAAGAAGAGGACGCACUAACAUUUUUUGGUCUGCAAUCUUAAAAAAGAACAAACAGUCUACGAAGUCUAAUGUAUGUGUGUGGUCUGUACGACGCAGUGUGGUCUGUACGGCACAGAUAGAAAAACCAAAGAAGAUCACAAAAAACAAACAAUACCUUACACAUGCAUCCACUAUGCUACUUUUAAAUCUACAUCUUUCAUCCACAACAUGACUUUAAUUUUCAAUCUUUGGUUCUAUCCGUCAACUCCCGAUACCCCUACGCUUAAGGUCAUUUGAUAACGCUCCUACACUUAGUUUACCAACAUUUAAAAUAAAAUACAUGAUUUAAAUUCAAUUCGCGGUUUUUUAAUAUUCCACAGUUCAUCAUUAUUUCAUAGCGGGAUGAAAUCACUUUCGCGGAAAUCAAUAAAAUAUGUGAUGUAUGUUGUUAGAAAAGGUGGCUUCUUUAAUUUGAAAAUCUUUUUCGUGAGUUAUAUGGUCAUAUUAUGAUAUUUUUUUAGUAUAUGUAUUAUUGAAAGAUAUGAAGCGUCCGAUAUGAAUAUUUUUAGUGAAUAACUUAAGAAUAAAUCUCAGGUCCAUUUUGUUGGUUUAAUGGAAAUGUCUUAUAAACAAUAUAAGGUGCACUUAAAAUAUCACCAAUGUCUUUUUAUGAAAGAGACAAACGGCCUCCUAAACGUUAAAAGCAACAACUAUCGGACAUCGAAAAGCAUAUGUAAUAGAUUCAAAGAAUUGGAACGUAUCGAGUUUGGAGAAUAAGAUUUUGGUUGUCGGAUAGAAAGUGAACAUCGUAGAAAGGAAAAAGGGAAGUAUCACAGGAUGGUGGGGUAAGCAUUAUCAUACAAACCAACAUGCUUCCGACAAAUGUUUCCUACUGUUUUUGGUGUCCAAUUUUAAGGUUACAUAAUUUUAGUUUAAUAGUAAUGAUAGAAACUUCUAUACAUACAACAAAGCGCUUUGUGUUUGAUUUCGUCUAUUUUAUAAUUUCUAUUGUAAACAUAUAUCAUUUUUUAUAUUGAAGUAUAUUUUAUUUGAUAAAUGUAUAUAAUAGUAUAUUCUGAAUUUAUAAACUCAAUAUACCUAAAAUUAGAUGUCAUAGUGGGAAAAAAGAGUUUUGAGGCGUAAUCCGCAACCGUGACUUUGUUGCACCGAUUGUGUGAUCACUAUGUUAUUACUUGGAGGGGGUCACGCUUGAGGGAGGGUGUGGUACGCUUAACAGGAUUUGUGAUUUUUUGGGUCACCCUUUGACAUUUUUUCAUGCCCGAAGACAUGGAUGUUGACUAGCGUUUGGAUGAUUUGCCUUUGUUGUUUUUGCGGAAUUCAUGAUGAGUAUCAUUCAUGAUGAACAACAAUGAGAAUGGAGGAUCGGUGCAUAGAAGAAGACGAAUGCUAGGAAGGUAAGAGAAGGGCGUGUUGGUGAGUGUUUGAACGAGAAAAAUAGAAACCCUGGUAUAUAUAAGCCAUUGAUACGAUGUUGGUAACUUUCUAUUUACAGACUUUCCACCAUGUAUGGAUUCAUGUGCAAUUUCGACAUUGUGGGAAUCAAGAGAUAGUAGCAGAUGUAAGUUACGAAAACUUUUCUCUUUAGUCCGCUUGAGGUAACUCAAUAUUUCAUGCAAUUUCGACCUUGUGGUACUUUUUUUCAACCAAAUGUACACUUUUUUAUUGGUAAGUUAAGGGUUGUCACCUUGAGGUAACUCAAGAUUUCUAGCAACUUUAGAAAACCACCUAAGUUAAGUUGUUGGGGAUACAAAUAAUAUAUAAUCCAAAAGACUCUCCAAGUUCAACCAGAUCUUAAGCAGCAAAAAAGACAACAUAGAAAGAUAGAAACCAUACCCUCAAACUUUUGAAAUGUCCUUGCUGAUUCUAUGGAUGCCUAGAGCCUAAAGUUGGAUUCAUUUUCCAUUGUCAUACCUAGGAAUCGAUUCAACAAUACUCGACAUGUCACUUCAGCUACUAAACACAUUUAACUCAAGCUUAAUACCCUUCUAACGGUGGAAGACGCAUGUUCAAAAAACCUUUUGGGUGAAAAGGUGACCUCAAAAAACAAACUUUGGUGAACUCACAAAACUUAUGAAAAACGUAAAUCAAAAGAAUACGAUAUUUAGCGUGGUGAGGUCAAUGAGACCUACGUCUACGGGCGAACACGAGAGAGAGAGAGAGAGAGAGAGAGAGGAUUUUAUUAAGUUUCUAGAAUUAUUACAAGCACUCAAAAUUGUAUCUCAUUUUAAGCUCUCACAUAAAUCUAGCGAUUUACAAUGAUGGGGGUAUGAGCCUAUUUACUUGAGGGAUCAAACUGAUGGGUUUUGAGCAUUCUAACACUCCUAAGUGUACAUGCAACCCUAAAUACCUUGAAUCUAUGUUUUCUCUAAUAUACAUGCAAAUAUAAACUUUCCAAGGUAUUCAUCCUAACUAGCAUAAUAACAUUGAUACAUUUGAAUAUCUCAAGUUAGAAUUACAUACCUCUUUGAUGUAGAAUGUCUUCAUGAAUCUUGAGUGCCUAGUGCCCCAAGUGUGACACCUCAAAUGGUUCACACAACACCAAAUGCACAUGGAAUGACUUGAGAAAAAUGGAACACUUCAUAAAAUCGGUUAGCCCUUAUUUCUCACACAUAGUGUCCGAUUUCUUUAGCCAUGAGAUUCUUUUAUAUGGUGGCUAUUAGGGUUACUCCAUGUAACUCAUAACUUUACCCAUUCCUUAUGCUCCAUGGAUUUUAACCUCCAUGGAGUAUCCAUCGGUCACCCCCAUGGACUUAGUCCAACAAAAGGAAUCUUGGAUCACAAGCCCGCAUAUAUAAGAACGAAUGAUUUACACAAUCAUCCCAUAUAUUUAAUUAGUCUCCUUUUGAUUACUUAAUUAAUUACAAAUUAAUUCUUGAUCAAUACUAAUUAAAUAACCUUAUUAAUAUAUUAGAACUUAUAAUAUAUUGUCAGACCCCAAAACCGAGAACGGCGGAAACGUUCUGGGGCGGAGGACAUCAUGUAAUGUAUCACAACAAUGUAAAGCAGUAAACAAGAAACAACAUCAUCCAUUGCAUUAAUAGUAUAAUUUUAGUUACAAGUGUGCUCUUUCAUAAGAUACAACAAUAAAAUGAAUAAUCAGAAUAAGACGAGUCUCUACAAGUAAGUGUAUCUAUGUAAGUGUAUCUAUGUGAGUGUACCCAAGUAAGUGUAUCCAAGUAAGUGUAUCUCUACAAGCAACAUGUAUUCGUAUGGAAUCAUGAAUGAACUGAAUCUUGUGUAAUUCCUUGUAAUAGGAAUAGCAAGUAGUAUCUCCUAACUAUACCUAUAAUAGUUACUAGAAAUGUACAAGUAUCAACGAAAGUAUACCUUUGCUAGCCAAAGGUACUGAACUGACUGAAGGCACUUUUAUGUCUACAUAUAUAUACAUAAUAUAUAACGAAUAUUUAGACGACAUUCGGACGGAUACCCGAUACCCUACCAGACCACAUCCCAACAGGGAAAAGGAAAUAAAGCGGGUUAGCCUUCCUAAGUCCUUUAAACAUUUCUUAUAUAACUAUACAUAUGUGGGCAUGCAUUUGAUAAUAUAAAAGCAUAAAAUAAGUUUUGUAAAACCUUUGAAAAAGAUUAAUACUAAGAAAAGAUCGACUUGAUGUCAGUUUAUAAAACGGUUUGAAAGUAUUUGUCAAUUUUUUUAUUUAGCCAUUUUUUUUAUUAUAACUAAUUUUUUUUAUUAAAACCAAUUUUUUUAACACCAAUUUUUGCCACAACCUACCUAUGGAUUGUCACAUUGGUUACUUCAUGCCGGUUAUUAUUAUUGGAAGAAUAUUCCUACCGCAGUCGGACUUCAUAUUAUCUUUUGUGAUUCUUGCACCGCAACGGCGAUGGAUCAACAAAGUUGUUUCGCAUUCUUCACUUUAUGGGAUAUUAUGACUUGGCGCUCUUGAUUUUAGGUUGACGAAUCAUGUAUCUUGAGCAUGUGGACUUUAUUCUCUAUUGAAGACCACUUCAAGUGUUCCGGCACCGCAGUUUGGAUAUUUGGAUAUAUUUUUUGCACAACAGAUUUUCUCAGCACACUUUCAGCAACUAUUUCACCCGCUUUCUCAUGACCGCAAGAGUAUUUAUUUUACUCUUUAUCAUUUCUUAUCGAGACCCUUCAUACAUCUAGGGAGAGCUUAUCUUAGCUCUUGGUAUCCGACACUCUCCAUCCGAUGAUUUGUUGAUUUUUGAUAUCCGGUCAUUGGUUAUCAAAAAUAGGGAGAGAAUAUCAUCCAGAUUUGAUUAUUAUUCUUUGUGUUUGGAUUCUUAAAGACCUCUAAAGAUGAUUAUUUAUUUAGUGAUGCGAUGUGGCACUUAUUUUUGGUCUUCACGGAUCAAAUUUUUGGCAUUACUCGAUGUUUUCCGAUUCAGAUUAUUUAUUAUUCGGACUCUACCACAGGAUGAUUUUGUGUUCGCAUCUAGUUCAGAUUUUAUGGUUUCACGAGUUUGGAUUUGUGAUAUGUUGAAGACGAAGAUUAUUUUGGCGAUGUGACGUGGCACUUAUUUUUGAUCCUUGGAUCAAAUUUUUGGCAUUGCUGGACCAUGUUUUUGGACUCACGUUAUUUUUAUACGGACUACAUUUUAUGGAUACUUCACAUUUUUAGCAGAUUAUUCUUUGAAGAAUUUUGGUGUAUUAUGAUUCGAGAACUCGAGAUGUUUUUUAGACAGAAAACGAAGUGUUUCUUUUAUUGGAUCUUCUACUUGCUCAUGGUGACCUCCUUCUUUGGGUGAUUAUGACUGGGUUGAAGAUUUGGAUCUUAUUUUUUCUGCUUCAUUGGUUGUGCUUUGAAGCCGAAGAUCUUCAUUUCAGAGAUUCAUGGCCAAUUUCAGACUUCACAGACACUUCAGAGUUUCAGAGAUAUUUCAGCACUUGAUUUCAUUUUAUUACCACACUUGCUAGUUGGAUUACUGUAUUAUAGCCUUGUAUCACUUAUUGUAUCUCUCAUCAUAUGUAAGCAUUUAGGGAGAGAAUGUUGGUGCAUGGAAAUGCUCCACAAAUAAUGAGUGUUUAUUAGGUUAUAUUUUCCCUUUAUUGUAUUUAUGGUGUAAAUACUCUCCCUCCUAUAUAAAAGGGAGAGUUGGUCAUUUAUUUCAAAAAGUUAAGCUAGACAUUCUUACUUUUCUUAGUUAGAUUUACAUUUCUCACAAUGUAAUUCUAGAGAGAGAAAGUGGUGGGUUCUCCCCACCUAGGGAGAGUUUCUCUCCCACCAUGUUUUUCAUGCAAUAUUAUGAUUAUUCUCUCUUGUUCUUACUUCUUUUUUAUGAACUCAUAUUAUGUUCUUCGUGUUCAUACUUCCAAAAACACGAUUAAUUUCGAGAUAUCUUUCUGCCGCAUUCACCGUUCAUUCGAAAAAGGGGUCUCUACAGUUUCCAAGGCAUUAAACAUAUAACUAGCAUACAUUUGACAAAAACCAUAUAAGAUGCUAGUUAGGGUAACAUACCUUUUAUGUAGCUUGAAGUUUUGAUGUACUGGCCUUAAGGGCUUAGCCCCAAUAUUGUGGAAGCCUCAAAUGAAGUCACAACACAUCAUGGACAAAGGUGACUCUUCAGAGAGAAUUCAAUGCAACAAAACACCUCCAUAUUUCUCUAAGAAAAGAAGCACACGUUUUUGGUCAUGAAGCAACAUAUUUAUAUGGUAAAUUCUGAGGGUCAUGGGUUUAACCCAUAACCACACCCAUGGGUUUUAUGAUCGAUGGUUCAUGUGGCCCAACUCGUUAUGUGUCCAUACAUAAACCUUGUCCAACAUGAAUCAUAAGCCCAACUGCAACAUCCAAAAAUACGACCCAAAAUUUUUUGUUUUAAUAAUAAUAAAAAUCAUAUGCUGAACGUCGUAUCAUAAAACCAUACAUCAAAUAUCUCAAAUCAUAAUAAAAUUUCGUGAAACAACUGUAUCAAAUCAAACUAUGAAUCAAAACAAACUCCCAGGACAAAGACUGAAGAUGUGGUGUGUGCGAUGCCAUCAUCCUAAGCUCUUCCCUUUACUUGCGGAAGUACCUGAAACCAAAACUGAAACUGUAAGGACGAAGCUUAGUGAGCUCCCCCAAACUACCACAAACCAUACAAUACAUAUAAAUCACAUACUGGGCCUUGCCCACUGCAUCAGACCGAAGUCCGGAAAGUGCAUCGGACUGAAGUCCGGAACUGACUGGGAGCUUGUCCCCUGCAUUGGACCGGUGUCCGAAACUAGCUGCAUCGGACCGAAGUCCGGAACUGACUGUAUCGAACGGAAGUCCGGAACUAACUGUAUCGGACCAAAGUCCAAAAAUGAUUGAUCAAAGCAUAGCAUAAACACAUAUCAACUAGCAUAACACAUAUCAUCUAACAUAAAUAGAUAUACUGCAUACUGCAUCAGGCCAUAGCCCGGAACACAUAACACAUAAAUCCUGUCUGAGCCGCGAAGGCAUCAAACACACUGUCUGCUGCAUCGGACCGAUGUCCGGAAACUUCUGCUAGCUAAUUGGGUCGGUAUUGUGGCCGUAGACCCGUUCCUACUGGAAGGAAACUCACCUCGUAAUCUGCCUGCUGAAUGAACUGCUCAGGAAACUGUCUGUUGCUGCUCCGGUAUCUCCCCGACUAUAAUUUCCAUAAGUACACUCAAUCAAUCACUGAUAGCUACACUGAGGGUAAAAUGACUAUUUUACCCAUGGUCAAAGUCAACCUAUUGGUCAAAGUCAACAUACAGUUGACCUGACUCGUCGAGUUAGGUCACCAACUCAUUGAGUCCUUACUCUCACUUUCUUGCUUCUGCUCGCUACUACUCGUCGAGUUUGGCAUAGACUCGACGAGUUCCUCUUCGAUACUAACACUCAGUCAAUAUGCAUCCGACUCGCCGAGUUGUAUGAACAACUCAUCGAGUCCUCCUUCAACACAUGAACACUCUGGCUGUGACUCGCCGAGUUUUAUGAAAAACUCUUCAAGUCUGUUCUUGAGGUAUAAAGAUUGCCUUUGACUCGUCGAGUCAGGGCAUUGACUCACCGAGUCCCUUCAUGAAUGAGUCCGAUCUCCGACUCACUGAGUCCACCCAUAAGUCAUUGAUUCCACUCGGCAUGACCCAUGAAAGGGGAAGAAAUCGGGGACUCGCGACCUGACUCGCCGAGUCUGAAGAACAACUCGCCGAUUCGGUUGCAUACAACACUACUCCGAUGAUUCUGCUCAAAUCUAAUGCAUACAACUUAUAGAUUUGGGUUCAUAAAGCAUAGUUACCAUAUAAAGUUUCCAACUUUACGUGUACAUAUGCAUGAAAAUGGAUUUAAAGGCUAAAAACACACUUAAAGGAAUAGAUCUAGGGCUUUCAAGCAAGAAGGCUCCAUAAGGGUGUUAGAUCCACGACUUAGGGACUAAAACAUGACUAGACCCGAAGGCCAAUCACCCCAAUGUGAUCUCUCUACCAUAAAUAAGAUAAGGAAUGGAUUAAAUGGUCUAAAUGCGAUUCAAAAAUGGAGAAUCAAACAUAGAAACAGAGGGAAUCCGAUUUUUACCUCAAUAACUCUGUAAUAGCUGAAAUGUAACAGCCCGGAAUUCCAGGUAUUGUUAUAUUUAUGAUUUUGGGUAUUUUAAGAGGGGACUCGGCGAGUUGGAGCUCAGACUCGCCGAGAAGGAUCGCGGAUCUGGUCGCGGGUUCGCGACUGGACUCGGCGAGUCCGGAUAUGGACUCGGCGAGUCCGCGCUAUUUAGCGAAACCCUAACUUCCCAGGUUUGGGACAUAUAUAAGGGGCCUUAUGGACGUCAUUGUUCACCCUAGUCCUUUGAGUGAAACCCUAAUUCGAUUGUGAGCAUCUGGAGCAAGGUAGAAGACCAUUAUUGUUCUUGGAAGUAUUAUUUUGCAAGGAGGAGGAGGCUUGGUUAAGGGAACAACAGGAGAAGCCAUAUUCUGAGGGUUGGGGACACAGAGCAACGUUAUUCAGGUAAUAUUUUCGAGUUGUUCCCUUCUAUGUUGAUGUGUAUAUGGAUUUAGGGUUUAUUGAACCCUUUUGUGGCUAGAUUGAGUGUUUCCUUAGUCCCCCAAGCGAUUGGAACCCUAUAUUGGGACCCUUGGAAGUCCAGAGUGUCCCAUGCCUGAGCUUUUCGGGAAUCAAUGGAGGUUUUGGAUUGGAAUCCUUAUGCCUUAGGUCAAAACGUCAAUUAUGAGUCAUGGGGUGUAUUAUGAGCACCGAAAUAAGGACUUUACGUGAUGAACCAGUCUAGGAAGGCCAGACCUAUGAAUUGCCGGAGCAGAUCUGACCUUAGAAAGCAGUUUGAGCGGUUGCAUGGCAUGGACUCGCCGAGUCCGAUGAACAGACUCGGCGAGUAGCUUGAAGAUUGCCUUAGAAUGGUCCUGUCCGGGUUAUGGGUUGGAUCGGUGAGUCAGGGCGAGUUAGAGAGGGUUAACAGGUGGUCUGAGUCGAACUGGGACUCGCCGAGUUGUUCUUCAGACUCGGCGAGUUGAGUCGGGGUGGCCCCGCGAUUCUUCCAGGAGGAACUCGUCGAGUCAAGGGGGAUACUCGACGUGUAGAAAGGGAAUCUUAGAGAAUUGGUGAGAACGUCUAGACUCGCCGAGUCGCCCUAGCGCUCGCCGAGUCCGGUCAAAGUUGACCGUUGACCGUUGACCAGAGUGGACCUGUGUUGACUUCUUAGGGAUAGUCAACAUUAGAGAUAUAAAGUGUUAACUAGGGACGUAUGAUGUUAUAGGAGGAUUAGAGCUCGGAGAAUCGGGCACGAGGGAUUCCCAGGAUUGUGAGAUAUCGAGACACGCGAGGUGAGUCUUCUCACUAUACUUUACCUUGAGUAGGUAACCAGAGUUAUAUGAUAGAGUAUUUGUAUGCUAUGUAUGUUAUGUGUUGCACUGCAUUCUUCUAUGUGAUUUAUGCUAUGCUUGUUUACAGAGUUAGAACCUGAGGGUUCACAGAGUAUGGGUGCACGGACCCACAGAGUUAUAGCCUCGAAUGGCUAAUAUGUGUUAUGUGGUAUUUUGGGGAACUCACUAAACUUUAUGCUUACAGUGUUGGUGUUAUUUGUUUCAGGUACUAGUGAGGAUCGCGGGAAGGCGUCGGCCUGAUCAGUGCACACACGCGGGAUUCUAUAUUGUGUGAUCUUGGGGUUUUUAUAUGUUAUGAAAUGAAUUACAAACAAUGAUGUUUUUAUGAAUAUUAAAUGAAGUUUGUCUUUAUAAAAUGCGAAAAAUUAUUUUUAAAUUCUUGGUGUUACAUGAAAGAUCUUGGAUCUCCUUCUACUCCCUUGGAUCUAGCUUCCUUCUUCUCUUCCAAAACGUCAAGAUUCACACAAUAAAUGCUUAAAAUGCUCAAGGAAAGGUUAGGGUUUGCUAAAUGAUGCUAUGAGGGUGAAGGGGACGAGGUUGGGGCUCAUAACAUGAUUUAAAUAGGGUGCAAAACCCGUGGAUUUAGGGUUUCAUUCUGACUGAUGGACUCGCCGAGUCCCGAACUUAAACGUGCUCGAAAUCCCGUCUCUACUCGACGAGUCGGGCUACUGACUUGUUGAGUCCCUCUUGAAACUUGAAUAAAUAAUAAUAUUAAAUAACAUACCAAAAUCGGGGCAUUACAACUCUCCCCUACUUGUCUCAGACUUCGUCCUUGAAUUCUACUGCUGCUGCAUCUGGGAACAACUCUGGGUAGUGCUCCCUCAUCUCCUCCUCUNCCGCCCACUCACCCCUUCCGGUCCUGCCACUUCACCUUUACCAACUGAACCACCUUGUUCCUCAAGGUCUUCGUCUUUCGAUCCAAGAUCGCAAUCGGUCUCUCAAUAUAAUUCCGGCUGCCAUCAACUUGAAUGUCCUCUAAGGGUAUGACUGCUGACUCGUCCACCAAACACUUCCGCAACUGGGAAACAUGGAAAGUGUUGUGGAUCUGGCUAAGCUCUGCCGGAAGGUUCAACCGAUAAGCGACCCGACCCACCCGGGCCAAAACCCUAAAAGGACCGAUGAACCUAGUGUCGGAAUAGUGUCUAAGGCUGCAACUAUAUUAGGCAAGUAUUUGACCCGGUUGUGCAUGGUCCUUUUGGGUUGCCUUCACCAUAGGAACUUGACAGGAUGAUUUAUUAUGAGAGAAUAAAUAUUAUUAAUAUAUUAUGAGAAUAAUAUAAGGAAUAAUAAUAUUGUUAUUUGAUUAAUAUAAGUCAUAAAUUAAUUAGUAUUAAUUUGGUGACUUAAAGAGAUUAAUUAAAUAAGAGGGUAUAAACUGUCAAUUGUUUGAUAGUUACACUUUAGACUGUAAAUCCUUAUUGGAUAGAGGAUGGACGAAUUCUAGAAGCUAGGGAUAGCUUAAAAUCGUCCAAGGUUAUCUAAGGAAUGGAUUUGGAUUGCUUUAAGGAAAGAUUAUCCAACUAGGGUUUAAGCUGAAACCCUUAAGGAGUCUACAAGUAUAAAUAGACCCUCUGGCCAAGGGAAUUCGGCAUCUCAUCUCAAGUAGAGAACCCCUGGCCGAAUUUCCUCCCCUCUCCUCUCUCUCAAAUCAUCCUCCUUGCUAGUUGGUGUUUGUAAGCCAUUAGAGGAGUGACAAUUGUGACUCUAGAGCUCCAAGACAACAAGAUCAAACAAGAGAUUCAAAGGUAAACUUCUAGAUCUGAUUUUUUAUUGUUCUUAUACCUAAUUAGUCAUUAGAAGUCUUGGAUUCAAAGCAUGUUUAAUUAGAAAGCCUAGAUCCAAGCAUUAGGGUUUUGCAUGCGCACAUAGGAAAGUUCUUAUGGCUAAAACCCAUCAGUGGUAUCAGAGCCUAGCUUGGUUUCUAUUAAAUUGUUGCUUGUUUGUUUGAAACUUAACUGCAAAAUUCGAUUUUUGUGUUUCUGAGUCAUGGACUCGGCGAGUUCCAUAGUGGACUCGGCGAGUUGGCCUGACUCGGCGAGUCCCUUGGUGCACUCGGCGAGUCCAAGCGUCAGGAAAGGCCAGAUUCGGGAUUUUUUGAUGAUUAUCUUAUGGAAACUUACCUUAAUCAUAUUAGAUCAACCCUAAUCCGAUUUUUUGAUAUAUAUGACUAUAAUCUUGAUCUAAUUAAAGAUAUUUAUCAACUAAUAAAAUAUUUAAUUUCCUUAUAUGAUAAUUAAUUAAUUAUUUUGAUUAAAUUGGUAAUUAUCUUGCAAGAAAUCUUGAAUAAAUCAAAUAUAGAUAAUUAGGAAAUUAAUUGUUAAUUAAAAUUAUUUGUUAUUUGAUCCUCCAUGUUUUAAAUGUUUAAAACUUGUCCUCAAGUUUUGAAAUUUAUGUUUUGUGAUUAAAAGUUUUAAUUUAGACAAUUUAAAUUUCAAACCCUAGAUUUUUAAAAGUUUAAAAUACAACCCUAUACUAAUAUAAUAUUACAAGAUUAAUAUAUAUAUAUAUAACUAUAUAUAUAUAUAUGUAUAACUAAAAUGCUAGUCUUACCGUUAGUAGGCCUCAUUCACGAAGCCGAUCUAUAAGGUGGGUAUAAGGUUGCGGCCUAUAAAAUGGCGCUUAAUGGGUGUACACUCACACCCACCGCUUGCUUGAUCGGUGGAGGGUCGUUAGCCGAACGGGUAGGAUAGGGCAACCUCAUCCUCUCAUUAAAAGUAUAAUAAGAAAUACAAAGUAACUACACAUAUUUUAAAAUUUCCCAAUCUUAGUUACUUUAGGAAAAGUGAAUUGAUGCAAUCCCAUGAAAUUACACUUUGCACCCUUGCUAAGAAGUUAGUGGAGCGUGUGUGGUUUACCGGCACACUAAUUGGUUCUAAGCAAAGGUGGCAAAGGGUGAUUCAUUGUUUAUCAUAGUUCGAUGGAGCGUGUGUGGUUUACCGGCACAUCGAAUAGGUGAUCGUUACAAUGAAGGCACCAUGUGAAUUUGCAUGGUAAUUCACACCCGCUUUGUGAUCCUCGGUAUCCCAGUCACAAACAAGAGGGGCAUAUCGAGAUUUAAACAUGCCAUUGAAUAGUUUCAAUGAAUCUCAUCCGAACCUAGGAAUUCUCAAUACAUUUAGGACUUAAAGUUAUGUUUUUAUGGUGGAGAAUUAGUGAAUCGUCAUUCACUUACCUUCAAAUUAUUUGCAUGUUAGAUUACGGCAUCCCUUUUCUAAUAUGUAAAUAUUGUUGUUGGAUCCUAGCCCUAAUUUUUCUUAUUGGGUGAUAAUUAGGGAUUCAUAUUCUAAUCUAUCUUUGUCCUUUCUAUUUGUAGAUGUCGAACGCAAACAACGCUGCUGCUAGUUCUUUCACAUUGAUGAGCCUUUGUCAAAAGGUCACUUUCGAUGGGACGAACUUUAGCGAAUGGAUAAGAUACAUUCGCACCAUUGCUCGCUAUGAGGAUAAGGAGUAUGUCCUCGAUGAGAAGCUCGAGAAAAUCAACCCUGAAAUCGCUACUCCGGCUGAAAUGACCGCUUUUGAAACUCAUGAGCGCGAUGCAACGAAGGUACAUUGCAUCAUGAUAGCCACCAUGAACUCCGAAUUCCAAAAGUCCUAUGAGGACAUGUACCCGUACGAGAUGCAUCAAGACUUAUUGGAGAGAUACCACCAAAACGCGAGACAAGAGCGUUAUGAGAUUUUCACUAACAUGAUUUCCGCUAAGAUGGGUCAUGGAGAGUCUCUUACCGUGCACCUGCAAAAGAUGCAAAGGUAUGUCGACCGCCUUCGCAAGUUAAAUGUUGACUUUGGGGAAGACUUGGCGAUCGACAUGGUGCUUCACUCUUUGCCUCCGAGCUACAAUCAAUUUAGGAUGACCUACCACAUGAACAAAGAGGAGGUCACCCUAAGCAAACUCCAAGGUCUCUUGAGGGUCGCUGAGAGCAACUUCAAGGACAAGUCUGUUGCACCAACUCCCAAUCCGCCCGCUGCUCCUGUCUUGGCUAUUGGACAAGGAAAGGGAAAGAAGAGGAAGGCUUCGUCUAAGAACUAUCGUAAGGUUAAAGCCCGAGAUGGUGCCUCUUCUAGUGGGACCAAAGUUGAUCCUGCUAAGCCCUGCCCUAACCCAAAGGAGGCAGAGUGCCACCACUGCCACAAGAUAGGACAUUGGAAGAGAAGCUGCCCAGAGUACCUGCAAGCCAUCAAGGAAGGAAAGAUCAAGCCGUCUUUCGCAGGUAUAUACACAAUUAAAUCUAACGAUUCUAAUCAUGCUAUUUCUUGGGUUCUUGAUACCGGUUGUGGUUACCACAUUUGUUCUAAUGUGCAGGGACUAAGAAGAAGUAGGGAUGUGGAGCAAGGAAGGAUCAAUCUAAUCAUGGGGAACAGAAGAUCGUCGCCUGUGACCAAGAUUGGAGUGUAUUCUUUAGUGCUUAGGAAUAGUUUAUGUUUAGAUUUGAACAAUUGUUGCUAUUCGCCAGAAAUGGCUAGAAACAUCAUUUCAUUUCAUGGUUUGUUUAGACAAGGUUUUAGAUUUUCUUUUAAUAAUGAGAAUGGUUCUAUUUUGGCUUAUCUAAAUGGUGUCUUUUAUUUUGAAGCUAUACCAUGUAAUGGAAUUUAUGAAACUGUUAUGAUUGUUGAUAACUUAGGAAAUGAUGUUUUGAACAUAGAUUCUUCCACUAGUAUGGAUAAAGCAUCCUUGUGGCAUUGUCGUCUUGGACAUGUCAACAAGAAACGCAUAGCCCAACUCCAAAAGGAUGGAGUGUUGGAGUCAUUCGACCUUAGGGAAGAUGACACAUGCGAGUCUUGUUUACUUGGAAAGAUGACUAAGUCACCCUUCACGAGUACGUGUGAAAGGGGUGAGGGUCUAUUGGACUUAAUACAUACCGAUGUAUGUGGACCGUUUAGAUCAACCACGAAGGAUGGGAACCGCUUCUACGUGACUUUUACCGAUGAUUAUAGUAGAUAUGGGUAUAUCUAUUUAAUCAAGCAAAAGUCAGAAACCUUUGAAAAGUUCAAAGAGUUCAAGAAUGAAGUGGAGAAUCAAUUGGGCAGGAAAAUCAAGAUGCUUCGAUCCGAUCGAGGAGGAGAGUACCUAAGUCUUGAAUUCCACGAUUAUCUCAAGGAGUGUGGAAUAGUUUCGCAAUUGACGCCUCCUAGGACACCGCAGUUGAAUGGUGUGGCAGAAAGGCGUAAUCGAACCUUAUUGGAUAUGGUUCGCUCUAUGAUGAGUCGUGCUUCACUACCUAUCUCUUUUUGGGGGUAUGCCUUAGAGACUGCCGCCCAUAUCCUUAACCGAGUCCCUACUAAGAAGGUUGCCAAAACACCUCACGAGAUGUGGACAGGGAAAGCUCCCUCGUUGGCACAUAUCAAGGUUUGGGGUUGCGAGGCUUUCGUAAGACGAGAUACUCACGACAAGCUUGAACCUCGAAGUGAGCGAUGUAUUUUCAUCGGCUACCCGCAGACAUCCUUUGGAUAUCUCUUCUAUAGACCGAAGGACAAUGUUGUCUUCGUUGCGAGGAGAGGAGUUUUCCGAGAGCGAGAACUCAUAAGCCAAGGAGACAAUGGGAGGCAAAUCGAGCUUGAAGAGAUUCAAGAGUCGAUAGAUGAAGGAGCCUCUACCGGUGGCACUCAACCCGAGGAGGAAACUUCGGGUGAACCAAUUGACAAAUCAUUACCUAUUAGACGUUCCGAUAGACUUAGAGUUCAACCCCAGUUUUAUAGUUUUCAUAUUACUACCGAAGGGGACACGUAUAUUAGUGAUGGUACACUAAUAAAUCUUGAUGAACCUAAUAGCUAUAAGGAAGCCAUGGCAGGCCCGGAGUCUGCAGAGUGGAAAGAAGGAAUGGAUAGCGAGAUCCAAUGCAUGUAUGAUAACCAAGUUUGGAAUUUGGUUGAUAAUGUGCCCGAACGUAAGACCGUUGGGUGCAAAUGGAUCUUCAAGAAGAAGACCGACGUGGAUGGAAAAGUACACACAUAUAAAGCGCGAUUGGUCGCGAAGGGCUUUACUCAAACUCCCGGAGUUGACUAUGAUGAGACCUUCUCACCAGUUGCGAAGAUUAAAUCUAUUAGAGUGAUGUUAGCAAUUGCCGCAUUUCAUGAUUAUGAGAUUUGGCAAAUGGAUGUCAAGACCGCUUUCCUUAACGGAAAGUUGGCUGAGGAUGUUUACAUGGCUCAGCCAGAGGGGUUUGUGGAUCCGAAGCAUCCGGAUAGAGUGUGUAAGCUUGAGAAGUCCAUUUAUGGACUUAAGCAAGCAUCUCGCAGAUGGAAUCUUUGCUUCGAUGAGAAAGUCAAAGAGUUUGGAUUUGUACGAAGCGAAGAUGAAUCUUGUGUAUAUGUCAAAGCCAGUGGGAGUAUAGUAAGCUUCCUCGUUCUAUAUGUCGAUGACAUAUUACUCAUAGGAAACGACAUCCCGACUCUGCAGGAGGUUAAGUCCUGGCUCGGGAAGUGCUUCGCUAUGAAGGACCUCAGAGAGGCUUCCUAUAUUUUGGGAAUAAGGAUAGUGAGUGAAAGAAGUAAGAGACUAAUAGGACUUAGUCAGAACACUUACUUAGAGAAGGUACUAAAACGUUUUAGUAUGGAACACUCGAAGAAGGGAGAAUUACCGAUACAAAGUAAUGCCAAGUUGAGUAAGACUCAAAGUCCGAGUACCGAAGCUGAAAUAGCAGAAAUGAGCCGAGUACC